RNA transcript from Orcinus orca (killer whale), 6104 nucleotides. It is a transcript of the gene named ras homolog family member H, with no coding region annotated. The transcript has 4 exons. The record is from RefSeq and is a predicted model, not a curated record. Lineage: Eukaryota; Metazoa; Chordata; Mammalia; Artiodactyla; Delphinidae.
CCCUAGAGAGCUGAUAAAUUCAACACAAAUUCAGCCAUGCAGCAAAGGCCUUAUUCUGUCUCUUAUCUGGGGAAGUUUUCAUAGUGUCAUGGAGGGAAAUGCACGUGCACACACAUAUACACACAUCAGAUGAAACCCUCUCUUCGGAGAAGCCAGCUACAGGAAAUUGACUUAUGCACAGGAACUUGCUAAUCUCUUUUGUCACAUUUGGAUUGUUUCUGCUGCCUCAGUCACCACGCACACUAAACCCAGCCAUCUCGGGUUGGAUUCUACACCAGCCCAACUCUCAAAAUUUUAGCUCUUCCAGUGUGAAACGGUUAUAUUCUUGGGGAGGAAGAAAAGAUUGAUCCUAGAAGGAAAUCAUAGCAGUGAAAGGGCUUGGGCGGCUUUUGUUUUUACUUACCUGCGCCGAACACAUUUGACUUGUGGAGUCAGUCAUUUUGGUGUCAAGAAAUUUCUUCGUCAUUCUACAACAGGUGACUUGGAGACAGUUGUUCUGUGGGUGAACUUUUGGGAGCCAUUGAUCCAGAGCUCUCCUACCAGGGCCCCCAGCACUGAGAUGUUGAAGACCAGCCUUUGGAGGUUUCCAUAGUAGAUGGUGCAUCUCCCUUGGAUGGACUGCAUGAAGUAACAUUCUGCAAAUUGCUGUCAGAGGUCCUAAGAGCACAAAUCCAUCUGGUUUCCAUUCCUCGUUGUUGAAUGGCGUUUGCUUCAGCAGCCCACUGAGGGCUCUUUUCCUCAGAAUUCUGAAUUUGUACCUAGGAAUCCGAGCUGGGAAGAUGCUGAGUUCCAUCAAGUGUGUGUUGGUGGGAGACUCUGCUGUGGGGAAAACCUCUCUGUUAGUGCGCUUCACCUCAGAGACCUUCCCAGAGGCCUACAAGCCCACAGUGUAUGAAAAUACAGGUGUAGACGUCUUCAUGGAUGGCAUCCAGAUCAGCCUGGGUCUCUGGGACACAGCUGGCAAUGAUGCCUUCAGGAGUAUCCGCCCUCUGUCCUACCAGCAGGCAGACGUGGUGCUGAUGUGCUACUCCGUGGCCAACCAUAACUCCUUCCUGAACCUGAAGAACAAGUGGAUUGGUGAAGUCAGGAGCAACCUGCCCUGCACCCCCGUGCUCGUGGUGGCCACCCAGACUGACCAGCGGGAGAUGGGGCCCCACAGGGCUUCCUGCGUCAACGCUAUAGAAGGAAAGAGACUGGCCCAGGAGGUGAGAGCCAAGGGCUACCUGGAGUGCUCAGCCCUCAGCAACCGGGGGGUACAGCAGGUAUUUGAGUGUGCCGUCCGGACUGCCAUCAACCAGGCCAGGAGACGCAACAGAAGGAGGUUCUUCUCCGUUAACGAGUGCAAGAUCCUCUAAACCCCAAAGACUCCACCCAGCAGUCACUUACCGCAAAAACUAACUGGGACAGGGAGAGCAGGCAAGCCAGCAAGCGUCGAUGCUCUUUCUGGGCACGUCCUAAGCAGCCUGAAGCAGCAUGAACAGCAGCAGGAAACCUUUCGGAUACAGUUGUUGAUGAGACUUGGCUACUGGAUGUUUUUACGAAAUACACUGUAUUGAAGAACUCUUUGCCCAUUACAGUUAGAAGAUCCCUUGGGAAACUGUAAUGAAUAUCCCACCUUCGAUUAUAAAACCAAACUGGUCUCCAUAAUUUUGGAUAAUGAAACAAAUACUGCUUAAAAGUACAAUAAAUUCCAAGAAGAAGAAGAAGGAGGAGGAGGACAGAGAAGGAAAGACAAAGAUUUAAUAGGAAAAAAAUGAAGUAAAAAAAAGACAUACGGGACUUCCCUGGUGGCGCAGUGGUUAAGAAUCCGCCUGCCAAUGCAGGGGACACAGGUUCAAGCCCUGGUCCGGGAAGAUCCCACAUGCCACAGGGCAACUAAGCCCGUGCGCCACAACUACUGAGCCUGUGCUCUAGAACCCGCGAGCCACAACUACGGAGCCCACGUGCUGCAACUACUGAAACCCGCACACCUAGAGCCCGCUCUCCGCAAUGAGAGAAGCCACCGCAAUGAAAAGCCGGUGCACCGCAACAAAGAGUAGCCCCCGCUCACUGCAACUAGAGAAAGCCCGAGCAGCAAUGAAGACCCAACACUGCCAAAAAAAAAAAAAAAGACUUAAAAUGCAAGUCCCAUUUUUAUUAUUAGAUUCAAUAGACAUUAUCCAAUUGCUAAAAAACUUUCUAAUCUAAACUCCUGAUUUCUGUGCUUAUCUUGCUGUGGUCUAGUAACAGUCUCAAGACCUGUCUGCCUGGUGUUUGGAUCACACUGCGAGCAGCUAUGAUCUAGUUCACUCAUUUCUUUGCCGGCAAAGUUCAUUCAUUCACUCAUUUAUUCUCUGAAUAAACAUUUGUUAAGCACCUGUUACAGGCAGGGCAUAUAGGUUAAUCCUGACUUUCUCAGGAUUACAGUGACACCAUGAUUAUGUGUUAUUUUUACAUAAUUAAAUUGCAAUCGUCAUGGUAUAUAUCAAUAUAAUAUGAUGUUCACUGUAAUAGCUUUGGAAAGAAAAAUUGUCCCAGACCUGGUCUGGGACAGACCCUUUCUGUGUGUGAUAUAAUUCAAAACCUCUUUCUGGGAAGAAAAUCAAUGCUCCUGAUAAAACACCUAUGCAAUUUUCUGAUCGAUUGCAAUGGUAUUGAGACUUGUUCCAGGAAACCAGUCACCCUCGCACUUCCUUCCCCCCACCCCCAGCUGACCGUCAGACACAGUCUAGUUGACCUUUAACCAGACAGUCUUUUCUUUCCUUUUCUAGUCUGAUUAUCUGGCCAUCCCUAUCAAGUGUGAAUCUUUGAAAUGGACUCCUAGAGGCCUCUUCCCUUGGAGAAAGCCUGCAAGAGUUUGACACAUGAUCAUAUCUAAGGAAGGAGGUGACAAUUCUCAUGGGUUGGUGGAGUUGGCAGGAACCCAUGACCUUGAGCAAGCUUUAUAAUAUUUCUGAGUCUCAGUUUUUUCAUCUAUGAAAUGGAAAGACUAAUACCUCAGGUUGUGAGAAUUAGGUGAGGCAUUGGAUGGAAAGGGCUUGGUAGGUAAGGAGUGCACCAUAAGUGUUCACCAUUUGUUAUGAUGAUGACUGUGGAUUCCUGAUCUCCUUGGAGUCAAAAGCCCUGUGGUACCAGGUUCCUCCUCUGCUCCAAAUCAAGCUCUGGACCUUAGCUUGCUCUAUGCGAUGCCUAGAGGGAACAGACCCACCAAGGGGCUCAGGAAAGGAACUGUCUAGAGCAGCAGAAGCCCAGUUCCUCAGGGGGAGGAGGGGACAGCCUGAAGUGGGUAAGUCAGCCAGGCUUGCAUAUGGGGUAACACUCACAUUUCCCACACUUUGAAAGUUCCCUCUAAGGUAGAGGGGAGGGGAUUAAGCUCGAGUCGCCUUGGGGCCAAUUCUGGCUGAAAGACUUACAGCAGGUGUGUGAUCUGGAAGCCAGCCAAGCAGACUCACCCCACAUCUGUGGGAGAAGGCAGUGGUCUCCUGUGGUUUCAGUCCUGUGGCUGUUACUCAGGCACUGUUUAUGGGCUGCCCUUUUUCACAGCUUUUCUCUUAGCUUGAGGCUGGGGUUGAGGGGAGGAGGGGGGGCUGCUGAAUUCUGCUGGUUCUCUUUCGUCCGUUCUGCUCUUGACAUAAGAAGCACAUGUGUCAUGUAGUGAAUAAUUUUCCUCUUUUAACCUCAAUCUGCUUUUUCUGAGAGAAUGACGUCUGUGUAAGAGGCUCUGGAAGAGGCAGGAGGGGGAGACAGAGGAGGAGUCAAGGGAGGGAGAGGAAGGGAGAUGGGAGUCUGGCCAAUGUCCCCAGACCACUUUAUAUUGUGGAGACUUACAAACUGACCAUUCUCUGCCACGGCCCCCAGGGGUAAAAGGAAGAGGAGGACGCAGGAGAAGAGAAAGAGUGUUUGCGCGUGGUACAGCGAUGCCAGCUGGCAGGGCACCUUUGUGAGGAUUAGAAAUGCUGCCUUCUCUGGGUGCACCUGACCCCGCACCAGCCAGCAGAGAUUGGCAAGCACAGCACAGGCUGGCUUUCAGUCUCCACUGUCCCCUCUGCCUAGAGUUUUGUUCAGUGAACAGCCUGCACAACUGUGACCAGCAGCCCUGACUGGGGGAAGACAGUUCCCAAAUGCAGUGGCAGAUGAGGGCUCACAAGAAACUGAGAUAAGAAGCAAAGAGGUAACACCUGCUCUUGGUUAUGACUACCAUGUCUGGUGGGUAUAAAGCUACAGUCCAUUUCCGGAAAGAAAGCCUUACUACUGGGAAGUCCCUCUACUCAUCGAGUAUAGCUCUUUACUUUCUCCACGAAGCAUCAGUCAAACCCUAUGUAAUCUAGUUCUCCCCCUCCUUUUCCACCAAACUUGGACUCUGUCCCUGUUUCCCCGCCGUAUUGCUUCUUUUGGGCUCCCUAGGAAGGGGCUUCCUGGACUUCAGAGUGAAAUCUCUACCCCCAACAUUUCUGCUACUAAUACUCACUACCACGUACAGGAAAACUCUGGUGCCUUAUUCUGCUGAAUCUUUUUUUAUUUUUUAAUUUUUUUCCUCUUAUCAAAUGACACCUCUUUUAGAAAGAAGGAGAUGAAAAAGCUAAGAGGGUAAAGGAACAUGAGAGUGGAGAAAAUCCUGCCUAGUCACACAUAGUUUUUUGCUUUAAUUUAUUUUCUUACCCCGUGGAGAGAAUGUUUAAAGCUUUCAUCAGAUUGUCAAAGGAGACCAUGAGCCUAAAAUUUCAAGAGCCGCUGCUAUAAAAUGACUCACAGAGUCUAAACAAAAGGGGCAUAGAAAGUUCAGGGAGGGUUUAUUAAAUUUAUUUUAUCCCACUGUCUGAUUUUCAGCAGCUUAUCUAAUUUCUUUCAGACCACGGGCAUGAACACUGCUGCUUAUUCUCCUGCCUGUCCUGGAUGGCCCCCAGAAUCACAUUAUUCUAAUUGCCAGCUAGCAGGCCUCCCAUUCUUCAGCCCCUCAGGCUCCACAUGUCACCAGAGUUAUAAUCCUAAAACGUAUCUUUCAUCAUAUCUUCACCAAACUCCAAGCAGCUCAUUGGCGUUAAACUCCUCCAUCGUCUGGCCCACUCAACCUCCCUGACCUUAUCAUGCUCUGUUCUUUAGCCAGCCCUCCAUGCCAGCCGGGUUGGUCAAUGUACUGCUCACGACAUGGACAUUGUGACCAUCGACCUCCAAGUCAUUACCCUUAAUCUAGGUCUUUGUCACCCCUUUCCCCUCAGUUUUCCAGAACCUUCCAUCAUUUAAGGCCAGCUCUCUGAAGUGGUAUGCCCUGCUUCUGUGUUCCCACAGCACCCCGUUUUCCCCAUCACAGACCCCAUGACUGUGUGCAGUAACUCUUGCCUGCUCUCUUCAUCUCUCCCACUGGUCAGUGAGUUUCUUCCAGAUAGGGGUUGUGUUUGGCCAAUGUUCCCAAUAUUGCCUGGAAGUUAGUAUGUGCUUGGAUACUUAAAUAUUUAUUGGAUAACUGAAGUUUUCUCUGACAAUUAUAGUGCAUGCCCCCUCUGGGCCUGUAUUUCCCCGAACUUCUAUUAUAUUUAUUGUUUCUACCAGGGACCGAUAAUCAGAAUUACUGGAAGAGUUUUAUAAAAUACAAAUUCUCAGAGCUCUAUCCCAGCUCUACUGCAUCAGGAUCUAGAGGGAUGGGCACCAGAAUAUGUAUUUCUACAAAGUUCCCUAGAUGUUUUUGAUAACCUAGUUUGCUUUAUAUCUCAAACUUUUUUGUCUUGGGGCCACUUUACACUCUUAAAAAUCACUGAAAUAUCUAAAGAGUUUUUGUUGAUGUGCGUUGUAGUUAUUAAUGUUAACCAAACUAAAAUUACAAUGGAUAAAUGACAAAAUAUUUAUAUAUUAAUUCAUUCAAAGUAACAAUAAUAGAUCCAUUAAAUGUUAACAUAAAUGACACAUUCUUUUUUGUUUGUGUGUUUAUUGAAUUUUAUUUUAUUUAUUUUUUGUACAGCAGGUUCUUAUUAGUUAUCUAUUUUAUACAUAUUAGUGUAUACAUGUCUAUCCCAACCUCCCAAUUCAUCCCACCACCACCACCCCACCACUUUCUCCCCUUGGUGUCCAUACGUUUGUUCUCUACAUCUGCGAAUGACACAUUCUUAAAUAAAAAAUGUUUUCCUAAACAA